UCCAGACUCCUACGGGAGGCAGCAGUGGGGAAUAUUGGGCAAUGGGCGCAAGCCUGACCCAGCAACGCCGCGUGAAGGAAGAAGGCUUUCGGGUUGUAAACUUCUUUUGUCAGGGACGAAGCAAGUGACGGUACCUGACGAAUAAGCCACGGCUAACUACGUGCCAGCAGCCGCGGUAAUACGUAGGUGGCAAGCGUUAUCCGGAUUUACUGGGUGUAAAGGGAGCGUAGGCGGCAGGGCAAGCCUGAUGUGAAAGCCCGGGGCUCAACCCCGGGACUGCAUUGGGAACUGCCCCGCUCGAGUGCCGGAGGGGCAGGCGGAAUUCCUAGUGUAGCGGUGAAAUGCGUAGAUAUUAGGAGGAACACCAGUGGCGAAGGCGGCCUGCUGGACGGUGUACUGACGCUGAGGCUCGAAAGCGUGGGGAGCAAACAGGAUUAGAUACCCUCGUA
This 449-nucleotide ribosomal RNA is filed under the name uncultured bacterium. RNAcentral's name for it is "bacterial SSU rRNA". It matches the Rfam family "Bacterial small subunit ribosomal RNA", at positions 330 to 792 of the family's 1533-position model. The record is from RNAcentral.